RNAcentral lists this ribosomal RNA (1483 nucleotides) under uncultured bacterium. RNAcentral describes it as "16S ribosomal RNA". It matches the Rfam family "Bacterial small subunit ribosomal RNA". The record is from RNAcentral.
UGGCUCAGGAUGAACGCUAGCGACAGGCCUAACACAUGCAAGUCGAGGGGCAUCGGGGCGAGGAGCAAUCCUUGCCGCCGGCGACCGGCGCACGGGUGAGUAACGCGUAUGCGACCUGCCCGUUGCAGGGGGAUAAUCGGGAGAAAUCCCGUCUAAUACCGCGUAACGCCGCGGGGCUGCAUGGCCCUGCGGCCAAAGGGAGCGAUUCCGGCAACGGAUGGGCAUGCGUGACAUUAGCUAGUUGGCGGGGCAACGGCCCACCAAGGCGACGAUGUCUAGGGGUUCUGAGAGGAAGGUCCCCCACACUGGUACUGAGACACGGACCAGACUCCUACGGGAGGCAGCAGUGAGGAAUAUUGGUCAAUGGGCGCGAGCCUGAACCAGCCAAGUCGCGUGAGGGAUGACGGCCCUACGGGUUGUAAACCUCUUUUGUCGGGGAGCAAAUUCCGCCACGUGUGGCGGAGUCGAGAGUACCCGAAGAAAAAGCAUCGGCUAACUCCGUGCCAGCAGCCGCGGUAAUACGGAGGAUGCGAGCGUUAUCCGGAUUUAUUGGGUUUAAAGGGUGCGUAGGCGGACUGUCAAGUCAGCGGUAAAAUACGGGGGCUCAACCUCCGCCCGCCGUUGAAACUGACGGUCUUGAGUGGGCGAGAAGUAUGCGGAAUGCGUGGUGUAGCGGUGAAAUGCAUAGAUAUCACGCAGAACUCCGAUUGCGAAGGCAGCAUACCGGCGCCCAACUGACGCUGAAGCACGAAAGCGUGGGUAUCGAACAGGAUUAGAUACCCUGGUAGUCCACGCAGUAAACGAUGAAUACUAGCUGUCCGGGGCGAAUGAGCCCUGGGUGCACAGCGAAAGCGUUAAGUUUUCCACCUGGGGAGUACGCCGGCAACGGUGAAACUCAAAGGAAUUGACGGGGGCCCGCACAAGCGGAGGAACAUGUGGUUUAAUUCGGUGAUACGCGAGGAACCUUACCCGGGCUCAAACGACACAGGAACGUACCUGAAAGGGUUCGGCUCUACGGAGCCUGUGUCGAGGUGCUGCAUGGUUGUCGUCAGCUCGUGCCGUGAGGUGUCGGCUUAAGUGCCAUAACGAGCGCAACCCCCAUCGACAGUUGCUAACAGGUUAGGCUGAGGACUCUGUCGAGACUGCCGGCGCAAGCUGCGAGGAAGGCGGGGAUGACGUCAAAUCAGCACGGCCCUUACGUCCGGGGCGACACACGUGUUACAAUGGCAGGUACAGCGGGAAGCCACCUGGCGACAGGGAGCGGAACCCGAAAGCCUGUCUCAGUUCGGAUUGGAGUCUGCAACCCGACUCCAUGAAGCUGGAUUCGCUAGUAAUCGCGCAUCAGCCACGGCGCGGUGAAUACGUUCCCGGGCCUUGUACACACCGCCCGUCAAGCCAUGGAAGCCGGGGGUGCCUGAAGUGCGCUGCCGCGAGGAGCGCCCUAGGGUAAAACCGGUGACUGGGGCUAAGUCGUAACAAGGUA